AUUGAACGCUGGCGGCAUGCCUUACACAUGCAAGUCGAACGGUAACAGGUUAAGCUGACGAGUGGCGAACGGGUGAGUAAUGUAUCGGAACGUGCCCAGUCGUGGGGGAUAACUGCUCGAAAGAGCAGCUAAUACCGCAUACGACCUGAGGGUGAAAGCGGGGGAUCGCAAGACCUCGCGCGAUUGGAGCGGCCGAUAUCAGAUUAGGUAGUUGGUGAGGUAAAGGCUCACCAAGCCGACGAUCUGUAGCUGGUCUGAGAGGACGACCAGCCACACUGGGACUGAGACACGGCCCAGACUCCUACGGGAGGCAGCAGUGGGGAAUUUUGGACAAUGGGCGCAAGCCUGAUCCAGCCAUGCCGCGUGCGGGAAGAAGGCCUUCGGGUUGUAAACCGCUUUUGUCGGGGAAGAAAAGGUUCUGGCUAAUACCUGGGACUCAUGACGGUACCUGAAGAAUAAGCGCCGGCUAACUACGUG
Molecule: ribosomal RNA, 477 nt
Filed under: uncultured bacterium
Lineage: Bacteria
Description: partial 16S ribosomal RNA
Rfam family: Bacterial small subunit ribosomal RNA
Source: RNAcentral